RNAcentral lists this ribosomal RNA (433 nucleotides) under uncultured bacterium. RNAcentral's name for it is "partial 16S ribosomal RNA". It matches the Rfam family "Bacterial small subunit ribosomal RNA", at positions 29 to 507 of the family's 1533-position model. The record is from RNAcentral.
AACGAACGCUGGCGGCAUGCCUAACACAUGCAAGUCGAACGAGACCUUCGGGUCUAGUGGCGCACGGGUGCGUAACGCGUGGGAACCUGCCCUUAGGUUCGGAAUAACUCCCCGAAAGGGGUGCUAAUACCGGAUAAUGUCUUCGGUCCAAAGAUUUAUCGCCUUUGGAUGGGCCCGCGUGGGAUUAGCUAGUUGGUAGGGUAAAAGCCUACCAAGGCGACGAUCCAUAGCUGGUCUGAGAGGAUGAUCAGCCACACUGGGACUGAGACACGGCCCAGACUCCUACGGGAGGCAGCAGUGGGGAAUAUUGGACAAUGGGCGAAAGCCUGAUCCAGCAAUGCCGCGUGAGUGAUGAAGGCCUUAGGGUUGUAAAGCUCUUUUACCCGGGAUGAUAAUGACAGUACCGGGAGAAUAAGCUCCGGCUAACUCCGUG